AUUUAUGGCGGCUUCGCGUGGGGCACCUUCGGGUGCGCCGGUCUUUCUCAUGAUCUCCCGGUCUGCUAACCCGCGUCGAAGCCGCCACCCUU
This 92-nucleotide non-coding RNA is filed under the name Pseudomonas sp. StFLB209. Lineage: Bacteria; Pseudomonadati; Pseudomonadota; Gammaproteobacteria; Pseudomonadales; Pseudomonadaceae. The record is from RNAcentral.